GUUUCUCCUCACUCUCUUCCUCACAGUAAACCUGACUUCCACCUUAUCUCCAUAAACAUGGACCCACACCACCACUAUGUGAUUCCCCUGCUCCACACAGCCAGCUCCAUCCCUCUCACUUGCAGACACAACUCCGCCAUCAUCUCACUUGCAACUGCAUCGACAACGCCAAAAAAUCUGGAUUCAUGAGCAUGGAGCUGGUCAUGGGCGAAUAAAAAAGUCCCAUUCCAGUCUUGACGAUAAGAGGGAAAGGGUUCUAUGCAUCACUGAGAUAGUAAGCGACUUGGAUGGAGGAUCCAGAGUCGAAGAAAGUAGCGAGAUUAAGAGUGAGCACCUCGGACUCGACGGCGAUUAAGAGUGGCUUUUGAUCUUCACAGAACUUUAACGAAGUUGUUAAAGUAGCUUCUUUUUUUCUUUUUAAACGAAACCUGAAAACUUAAAUAAAAGGGUUAAUUCAAACAUCUCAUCUAGCCCAUACUUGAAUUCAAAACCAGAGUCCAAUAUAUUUUGAAAGCUGAUUUCCAUGUACAUUUCAAAAGGUUUGAUUUCCAUGUGGAGGCAAUAUAUAGUGCAGUAGGUGAUGUAAUCAAUUCUUCUUGAAAUCCAUGGGCUCUUACAAAUCCUUCUAAGAGAAAGCCAAUGGAAUGAUUAGCACUUGAGGAAGCAAAAUUUUGGCGAGUAUGAUAGCACUUUCCUUCCGCAAGAAGCCUUGAAUUGCUGGCUAACCACAGGAAUGAGAACCUGCCUAUCAUAGCAAUGAGAAGCUCCUGUCAUGUUGUCAAUGACCAAUAAAUUUAGCUCUUUGAAACACUUACUGUUACUUCUCGGAGUCGGAGAGCUAAAACACAUGUUCACAUCCAAUUCUCCAAUUCAAUUUUUAAUUACUUUUUUCUUUUCUGGUCUUUUUUCCUCGACCUGUUCAUUUGUGGAUUGAAAGUGUACACUCACUUUAAUUUUAUUAUUUUUUUUCAA
Molecule: long non-coding RNA, 972 nt
Organism: Hevea brasiliensis (rubber tree)
Lineage: Eukaryota; Viridiplantae; Streptophyta; Magnoliopsida; Malpighiales; Euphorbiaceae
Exons: 2
Source: RefSeq, a predicted model, not a curated record